CCACAUAUGGUUUUGUAUUCCUUUGCAAGGUCGUUUUUGUUGAUGUUCGCUUCGUCUCUCUUUCGCCCACAGCUGCAGACUGUUUUCGUAUUCCAAUUUGAGUAGUCAGCACACUAAUACACACAUUAAGAAUGAAGCUGAUAAGAUAACGGGACUGCGCUCACAGUUGACUCAGCUCAAAGAUUGAGAAUAUGUGUGUAUGACGGAGAUGGCGGAAACUACUAAAGAUCGCAAGAUUUGGCCUCUCUCACCAAUUAGACUGCUGAGCCAAUUGCAGCAGUCAAGCAAGUAGCCGACCAACCAUGUGUCACUCGGUUUCAUUGAACUUUGCGCCUCAAUUUAUGCUCACAUAUGGAAGACAUUUAUACAUCCAAACAGAUGCACAUGUGUGUGUGUGUGUAUUGAUACAAAUUGAGCUGUUCAGCGUUGUACAGGCAAAUUGAUGGGGGCAGGCGAGUUGAGAUGAGACAAUACAAACAAAUGUUUGUGGUCGCAUCAAGUGGAAAUUGGUUGCAUAAACAACUUGAACAAAAGGACAGACAGACGAAGCGACACUUCACAUAGCACUUGCGAGUGAAAGAGAUAGAGAGAAAGACAACAACACUUAAGUGUGUGUGUGUGUGUGGAGUCUUUGCCUUUCGACUUGCAAAUGAAACUCGUUUCUUUGUUGUUGUUGUCUGCACUUUUGCAGCUGCCGCUGGAUGUGAAAUGUUUCUUCUCCUGCUUUAUUCUUGCCUCUCAAAUCUCAAAACGCGACGAACUGAACUGAAAGCGAAAACGAAACGAAAAAAAACGCCGUCGAUCGUUCGCCGCCUGUUGCUCGAAUUGAACUGAAACUGGAAAUCGAGGCGAGUCGCGUCGAGAAGCAACUGUGGCAAGUCAUUCCCUGCCGCAAGCUGUGGCCAUCGAUUCCCGUUCCCACAAACUUGCCCCCAGCCCCCUUGACCUCGCAUAAAACCGGUCGUUGGCCGAAUUUGAGACUGUGGCACGUUGUUUAUGCCACACGAUGAUCAUAGUUAAUGUGUGGCAGCUGUGUCGCGUCUUUUUGCCCUCUGACUGUAGACGGAAAUGCGCGCGUCACGACUUCCGCUGCAUGCCCCAACUGCGGCACAACUUAAAAGCAUAGAUUGGUUGUAAUCAAUGGCCGUGGAGAAUGCCGCAAAUCCCAAGCCGCCAAUGACGCCAGCCUUGAUGCCAGCUCGCAGUCCAAUCAAGCCGCCUGUGAUGCC
Drosophila albomicans is the source of this 1229-nucleotide long non-coding RNA. RefSeq lists it as uncharacterized. The record is from RefSeq and is a predicted model, not a curated record. Lineage: Eukaryota; Metazoa; Arthropoda; Insecta; Diptera; Drosophilidae. The transcript is spliced from 3 exons.